RNAcentral lists this transfer RNA (67 nucleotides) under Poecilogale albinucha (African striped weasel). RNAcentral's name for it is "tRNA-Trp". Lineage: Eukaryota; Metazoa; Chordata; Mammalia; Carnivora; Mustelidae. The record is from RNAcentral.
AGAAGUUUAGGUUAAGAAGACCAAGGGCCUUCAAAGCCCUAAGUAAGUGUCAUCCACUUAACUCCUG